UAGGGAAUCUUCGGCAAUGGACGAAAGUCUGACCGAGCAACGCCGCGUGAGUGAAGAAGGUUUUCGGAUCGUAAAACUCUGUUGGUAGAGAAGAACGUUGGUGAGAGUGGAAAGCUCAUCAAGUGACGGUAACCACCCAGAAAGGGACGGCUAACUACGUACCAG
Molecule: ribosomal RNA, 165 nt
Filed under: uncultured bacterium
Lineage: Bacteria
Description: partial 16S rRNA
Rfam family: Bacterial small subunit ribosomal RNA
Source: RNAcentral